This 429-nucleotide ribosomal RNA is filed under the name Bacteroidota bacterium. RNAcentral's name for it is "Bacteroidetes bacterium partial 16S ribosomal RNA". It matches the Rfam family "Bacterial small subunit ribosomal RNA", at positions 355 to 776 of the family's 1533-position model. Lineage: Bacteria; Pseudomonadati; Bacteroidota. The record is from RNAcentral.
UAGGGAAUCUUCCGCAAUGGGCGAAAGCCUGACGGAGCAACGCCGCGUGAGUGAUGAAGGUCUUCGGAUCGUAAAACUCUGUUAUUAGGGAAGAACAAAUGUGUAAGUAACUAUGCACGUCUUGACGGUACCUAAUCAGAAAGCCACGGCUAACUACGUGCCAGCAGCCGCGGUAAUACGUAGGUGGCAAGCGUUAUCCGGAAUUAUUGGGCGUAAAGCGAGCGCAGGCGGUCAAUUAAGUCUGAUGUGAAAGCCCCCGGCUCAACCGGGGAGGGUCAUUGGAAACUGGUUGACUUGAGUGCAGAAGAGGAGAGUGGAAUUCCAUGUGUAGCGGUGAAAUGCGUAGAUAUAUGGAGGAACACCAGUGGCGAAGGCGACUCUCUGGUCUGUAACUGACGCUGAGGUUCGAAAGCGUGGGUAGCAAACAGG